RNAcentral lists this unclassified non-coding RNA (378 nucleotides) under plant metagenome. Its description in RNAcentral is "partial contains 5.8S ribosomal RNA, internal transcribed spacer 2, and large subunit ribosomal RNA". The stretch from base 1 to 105 matches the Rfam family "5.8S ribosomal RNA", at positions 50 to 154 of the family's 154-position model. The record is from RNAcentral.
GAAAUGCGAUAAGUAAUGUGAAUUGCAGAAUUCAGUGAAUCAUCGAAUCUUUGAACGCACCUUGUGCUCCUUGGUAUUCCUUGGAGCAUGCCUGUUUGAGUAUCAUGAAAUCUUCAAAGUAAAUCUUUUGUUAACUCAAUUGGUUUCUACUUUGGUAUUGGAGGUCUUUGCAGCUUCACACCUGCUCCUCUUUGUUCAUUAGCUGGAUCUCAGUGUUAUGCUUGGUUCCACUCGGCGUGAUAAGUUAUCUAUCGCUGAGGACACUGUGAAAGGUGGUCAAGGUAAAUGCAGAUGAACCGCUUCUAAUAGUCCAUUGACUUGGACAAUACUUUUAUGAUCUGAUCUCAAAUCAGGUAGGACUACCCGCUGAACUUAAGC